This 935-nucleotide long non-coding RNA is filed under the name Gallus gallus (chicken). RNAcentral describes it as "long non-coding RNA NONGGAT003194". The record is from RNAcentral. Lineage: Eukaryota; Metazoa; Chordata; Aves; Galliformes; Phasianidae.
UAAGCACAUUAGUAUCUUCUGAUUUUAAAUCUGUUUUUUCUUUUCCCAUUUUAGUGAUGAAAUCAGUGCUCUCUCAGAACCUUUAAACACAGAGCUCUAAUAAGGAAAGCCAAGCAAUAAAAUAUUCAGUAGAACUUUAUCUUGGAAGAAAUGAUUAAAAUGGAAUGUUGGCCAAUGCCCACCCUUUUUUAAUAAUUUCUCUUAUUCUAAGCACCAUUUUUACACAUUUGAGGUUAAUAAGCUCCACAUUAUAACUGGCAAGUAGGGUGCUUUAACUUUGGCAGAAUAAUGUUUUUUGUUUUUUUUUUUUUGCCUGAGAAAUUUUCUGAGAGAUAAAUGAUAUUACCAGGUGGGAAGGUGAGAGCAAAACAAGACCCAAAAUGCAAAAAAAGAUAGCUGCUUUCAGAGCUGAAAAAGAAAGCACACAUCCCUUUCCUGAAGCUGACUCAUUUUCCUGUUCUCUCCCAGAAACAGGAAGACUUUUUCAAGACUUUACUACUUUGUAGUUCUGGAAAUCACUUGGAUCUGUGCAAUUUUCCUCCAGGCUCUUAUCCACAUUAUAUAUAUUUUAUAAAGAUGAACAGUGCACCAAAGACCUUGCUCAGGAACAUAGUGACUGUGGUAUUGGUUCACCUCAGGCCUUGCUCAGGCAGAUAGUGACCACAGUACUGGCUCAGCCUGGUUGCUGGAGGAACUGAUGGACAGACAUCUUGUUCAACAGCUGAGGGAAAAUUGAGUAUGUGCCAGAAAACAUGACUAUGGGUCGACCAUCUUACCCUGUAAGUAGCAAGCAGCUCAGGAGCUCCUGCAAGCUCUUCUGCACAACAGCCAGCUGCACUAUAGGAUCUCCCCUGGAGAAGGGAUGCCUCUCAAGGUUACACUUGCACAGGGAUCCCUCACACAUUGACAUCAAGACUCCUUACCAAUACAGAUCC